GAGUUUGAUCUUGGCUCAGAUUGAACGCUGGCGGCAUGCCUUACACAUGCAAGUCGAACGGCAGCAUGAUCUAGCUUGCUAGAUUGAUGGCGAGUGGCGAACGGGUGAGUAAUACAUCGGAACGUGCCCUGUAGUGGGGGAUAACUAGUCGAAAGAUUAGCUAAUACCGCAUACGACCUGAGGGUGAAAGUGGGGGACCGCAAGGCCUCAUGCUAUAGGAGCGGCCGAUGUCUGAUUAGCUAGUUGGUGGGUAAAGGCCCACCAAGGCGACGAUCAGUAGCUGGUCUGAGAGGACGAUCAGCCACACUGGGACUGAGACACGGCCCAGACUCCUACGGGAGGCAGCAGUGGGGAAUUUUGGACAAUGGGCGAAAGCCUGAUCCAGCAAUGCCGCGUGUGUGAAGAAGG
This 408-nucleotide ribosomal RNA is filed under the name uncultured microorganism. Its description in RNAcentral is "bacterial SSU rRNA". It matches the Rfam family "Bacterial small subunit ribosomal RNA", at positions 9 to 414 of the family's 1533-position model. The record is from RNAcentral.